AAUAGAUACCCCGGUAGUCCACGCCGUAAACGUUGGGCGCUAGAUGUGGGGACCAUUCCACGGUUUCCGCGUCGUAGCUAACGCAUUAAGCGCCCCGCCUGGGGAGUACGGCCGCAAGGCUAAAACUCAAAGGAAUUGACGGGGGCCCGCACAAGCGGCGGAGCAUGCGGAUUAAUUCGAUGCAACGCGAAGAACCUUACCAAGGCUUGACAUAUGCGAGAACGCUCUAGAAAUAGAGAACUCUUUGGACACUCGUAUACAGGUGGUGCAUGGUUGUCGUCAGCUCGUGUCGUGAGAUGUUGGGUUAAGUCCCGCAACGAGCGCAACCCUCGUCGCAUGUUGCCAGCACGUAAUGGUGGGAACUCAUGUGAGACUGCCGGGGUCAACUCGGAGGAAGGUGGGGAUGACGUCAAAUCAUCAUGCCCCUUAUGUCUUGGGCUUCACGCAUGCUACAAUGGCCGGUACAAAGGGCUGCGAUACCGUAAGGUGGAGCGAAUCCCAAAAAGCCGGUCUCAGUUCGGAUUGGGUCUGCAACG
RNAcentral lists this ribosomal RNA (536 nucleotides) under uncultured bacterium. RNAcentral describes it as "bacterial SSU rRNA". It matches the Rfam family "Bacterial small subunit ribosomal RNA", at positions 777 to 1312 of the family's 1533-position model. The record is from RNAcentral.